AUUGAACGCUGUCGGCAGGCCUAACACAUGCAAGUCGAGCGGAGCGGCGGACGGGUGAGUAAUGCCUAGGAAUCUGCCUGGUAGUGGGGGAUAACGUCCGGAAACGGGCGCUAAUACCGCCUACUAUCAGAUGAGUCUAGGUGGGCUUAGCUAGUUGGUGGGGUAAAGGCCUACCAAGGCGACGAUCCGUAACUGGUCUGAGAGGAUGAUCAGGCAGACGGGAACAGAGACGCGGUCGAGUCCCAUACGGCAGGCAGGAGUGGGGAAUAUUUGCGAAUGCGCGAAAGCUUGAUCCGGACAGACGGCGUGGGUGAUGAAGGUCUUCUGAUUGUAAAGCACUUAAAGUUGGGAGACGUUGCCAACAGAAUAUGAACCGGCUAACUUCGUGCCCGCAGCCGCGGUAAUUC
RNAcentral lists this ribosomal RNA (407 nucleotides) under uncultured bacterium. RNAcentral describes it as "partial 16S ribosomal RNA". It matches the Rfam family "Bacterial small subunit ribosomal RNA", at positions 30 to 526 of the family's 1533-position model. The record is from RNAcentral.